This is a long non-coding RNA of Neofelis nebulosa (Clouded leopard), 1131 nucleotides long. RefSeq lists it as uncharacterized. The transcript is spliced from 3 exons. NCBI's taxonomy places the organism in Eukaryota, Metazoa, Chordata, Mammalia, Carnivora, Felidae. The record is from RefSeq and is a predicted model, not a curated record.
AAAAGAUAGUCAUUCCAUAAACAGCCUUCCCUGACUUCCCCAAGCUGGAUCAGGACCCCUCCAGAAACCCGCAGGCCCCAGGCUCCUCCUUUCUCAGUGUGCCAAUGUCCGUCUCCUCCCCCGGUCCAUCUACCCCUUCAGGGCAGGGACGAAGUACUGGACCUUCUACAACCCCAUGUGAAGGCUCUCUGGCCAAAGGACUGCCUGCUCAGGACGUAGCACAAGGCCCGUAGGCUUCGCGUCCAGCGUGGAACCCCAUGUGGGGCUUGAAUUCAUGACCCUGAGAUCAAGACCUGAGCUGAGAUCAAGAGUCAGAUGCUUAACCGACAGAGCCACCCAGGCGCCCCUCAAAUCACGUUUGAGAUGAGGUAAACUGAGGCACAGAAGGAGUGACGGAUUUAUCUGUGUCCCUGCGACUUGUUCGAUAGGACCCUGGCUCCCGGGACUCACAUUCCUCUGCUCCCUCCCAUGAUUCACUGACACCCUAAGUACUCAAACCAUCCCCAUUAUCCGGUCACUCGCUGCUGCAAAACCUUCUGUGGACCAGCCAAGCCCCUGCUGGCCGGCACUAACCCCUUCCCUCAAACCUCCAGUCCCACCAUCACCAACUCCGCUGCCACAGACCAGUCAGACUGCCCAAAGAACGCAAGCCACGCUCACAUGUCACCACCCCCGAGAACAUCUUGCCCAUUUCUUUCUGAACAGGCGCCGCCUCUUCCAGGAAGCCUUCCCUGACUGCUCUCAUUGAGUUCUUUCCAGAGCUCUCGCGCCCGGCCACAUGAGGUGACUCCGAACAGACCUACCUGUGUUUCCUCUGCAAAUUGCUUAACCGUAUUAGUCCCUAGAGCAGGGAACACAUCUUCCCACCAGCCCGAUGUACCAGGGCAAAAAGAAAAGACUCAAUAUCCCAAUCCAACAGAACACCAGUGGUGGAGAAGUUACCUCCACAACAUCAACAUGUUCAGAAAUAGCUAUUUACGAGUUCAACUUUGUAAACAUUCUCACCCCCAACACCGCCAUAUCGCAGGAGUACUGGAUGUCCACCCUGUCCGACUGGCCUCCAAAUGGCACUGUUCCUGUUUCCCUGGACACCCUGACUGCCCCAACAUCCUUGCCGCUGUAUCACAAAGC